This 515-nucleotide ribosomal RNA is filed under the name uncultured bacterium. RNAcentral's name for it is "partial 16S ribosomal RNA". It matches the Rfam family "Bacterial small subunit ribosomal RNA", at positions 28 to 523 of the family's 1533-position model. The record is from RNAcentral.
GACGAACGCUGGCGGCGUGCCUAAUACAUGCAAGUCGAGCGGACUUUCAAGAAGCUUGCUUUUUGAAAGUUAGCGGCGGACGGGUGAGUAACACGUGGGCAACCUGCCUGUAAGACGGGGAUAACUCCGGGAAACCGGGGCUAAUACCGGAUAAUAUCUUUCUUCGCAUGGAGGAAGGUUGAAAGGCGGCGCAAGCUGCCGCUUGCAGAUGGGCCCGCGGCGCAUUAGCUAGUUGGUGAGGUAACGGCUCACCAAGGCGAAGAUGAGUAGCCGACCUGAGAGGGUGAUCGGCCACACUGGGACUGAGACACGGCCCAGACUCCUACGGGAGGCAGCAGUAGGGAAUCUUCCGCAAUGGACGAAAGUCUGACGGAGCAACGCCGCGUGAGCGAAGAAGGUCUUCGGAUCGUAAAGCUCUGUUGUCAGGGAAGAACAAGUACCGUUCGAAUAGGGCGGUACCUUGACGGUACCUGACCAGAAAGCCACGGCUAACUACGUGCCAGCAGCCGCCGUAA